CCAGCGCCGAUGGUAGUGUGGGGUCUCCCCAUGCGAGAGUAGGUCACCGCCAGAC
This 55-nucleotide ribosomal RNA is filed under the name Idiomarina sp. 017G. Lineage: Bacteria; Pseudomonadati; Pseudomonadota; Gammaproteobacteria; Alteromonadales; Idiomarinaceae. The record is from RNAcentral.